Molecule: ribosomal RNA, 328 nt
Filed under: uncultured Streptococcus sp.
Lineage: Bacteria; Bacillati; Bacillota; Bacilli; Lactobacillales; Streptococcaceae
Description: bacterial SSU rRNA
Rfam family: Bacterial small subunit ribosomal RNA
Source: RNAcentral
CGUCAGCUCGUGUCGUGAGAUGUUGGGUUAAGUACCCGCAACGAGCGCAACCCCUAUUGUUAGUUGCCAUCAUUCAGUUGGGCACUCUAGCGAGACUGCCGGUAAUAAACCGGAGGAAGGUGGGGAUGACGUCAAAUCAUCAUGCCCUUAUGACCUGGGCUACACACGUGCUACAAUGGUUGGUACAACGAGUUGCGAGUCGGUGACGGCGAGCUAAUCUCUUAAAGCCAAUCUCAGUUCGGAUUGUAGGCUGCAACUCGCCUACAUGAAGUCGGAAUCGCUAGUAAUCGCGGAUCAGCACGCCGCGGUGAAUACGUUCCCGGGCCUU